GGCGGCAUGCUUAACACAUGCAAGUCGAACGGAAACAGGACGCUGUGAUCCCUUCGGGGUGAACUUGUCGCUGUCGAGUGGCGGACGGGUGAGUAACGCAUAGGAAUCUGCCCAGUAGUGGGGGAUAACACGGAGAAAUUCGUGCUAAUACCGCAUACGACCUACGGGUGAAACGGGGGACCUUCGGGCCUCGUGCUAUUGGAUGAGCCUAUGUCAGAUUAGCUUGUUGGUGAGGUAACGGCUCACCAAGGCUACGAUCUGUAGCUGGUCUGAGAGGAUGAUCAGCCACACUGGAACUGAGACACGGUCCAGACUCCUACGGGAGGCAGCAGUGGGGAAUAUUGCACAAUGGGCGCAAGCCUGAUGCAGCAAUGCCGCGUGUGUGAAGAAGGCCUGCGGGUUGUAAAGCACUUUUAUUAGGAAAGAAAACCCAGGGUUAAUACCCCUGGCAUUGACGGUACCUAAUGAAUAAGCACCGGCUAACUCCGUG
RNAcentral lists this ribosomal RNA (490 nucleotides) under uncultured bacterium. Its description in RNAcentral is "bacterial SSU rRNA". It matches the Rfam family "Bacterial small subunit ribosomal RNA", at positions 38 to 507 of the family's 1533-position model. The record is from RNAcentral.